GGAGUUUUCGGCAAUGGGGGAAACCCUGACCGAGCAACACCGCGUGAGUGAUGAAGGUCUUCGGAUUGUAAAACUCUGUUGUGUGGAAAAAAUGACAGGUAGAGUGGAAAACUACUUGUUUGAUGGUACCACACCAGAAAGCCACGGCUAACUACGUGCCAGCAGCCGCGGUAAUACGUAGGUGGCAAGCGUUAUCCGGAAUUAUUGGGCGUAAAGAGUGAGCAGGCGGUUAUUUAAGUCUGAAGUCAAAGGCUAUGGCUCAACCAUAGUUCGCUUUGGAAACUGGAUGACUAGAGUGCGAGAGAGGUAAGCGGAAUUCCAUGUGUAGCGGUGAAAUGCGUAGAUAUAUGGAGGAACACCAGUGGCGAAGGCGGCUUACUAGCUCGUAACUGACGCUCAGUCACGAAAGCGUGGGUAGCAAAUAGGAUUAGAUACCCUAGUAGUCCACGCCGUAAACGAUGAGAGCUAAGUGUUGGGGAGACCCAGUGCUGAAGUUAACACAUUAAGCUCUCCGCCUGGGAAGUACGCUCGCAAGAGUGAAACUUAAAGGAAUUGACGGGGGCCCGCACAAGCAGUGGAGCAUGUGGUUUAAUUCGACGCUACGCGAAGAACCUUACCAAGACUUGACAUACGAUUAAAUACCCUAGAAAUAGGGGGAUAGCUAUAGUCGAUACAGGUGGUGCAUGGUUGUCGUCAGCUCGUGUCGUGAGAUGUUGGGUUAAGUCCCGCAACGAGCGCAACCCUUGUCCUUAGUUACCAUCAUUAAGUUGGGGACUCUAAGGAGACUGCCGAUGUAAAUCGGAGGAAGGUGGGGAUGACGUCAAAUCAUCAUGCCCUUUAUGUCUUGGGCUACACACGUGCUACAAUGGCCGGUACAAAGAGAAGCAAUACCGCGAGGUGGAGCAAAUCUCAUAAAGCCGGUCUCAGUUCGGAUUGAAGUCUGCAACUCGACUUCAUGAAGCUGGAAUUGCUAGUAAUCGCGAAUCAGCAAUGUCGCGGUGAAUACGUUCCCG
Molecule: ribosomal RNA, 1013 nt
Filed under: uncultured bacterium
Lineage: Bacteria
Description: bacterial SSU rRNA
Rfam family: Bacterial small subunit ribosomal RNA
Source: RNAcentral